This 253-nucleotide ribosomal RNA is filed under the name uncultured bacterium. Its description in RNAcentral is "partial 16S ribosomal RNA". It matches the Rfam family "Bacterial small subunit ribosomal RNA", at positions 524 to 776 of the family's 1533-position model. The record is from RNAcentral.
UACGUAGGGGGCUAGCGUUGUCCGGAAUCAUUGGGCGUAAAGCGCGUGUAGGCGGCCCGGUAAGUCCGCUGUGAAAGUCGGGGGCUCAACCCUCGGAAGCCGGUGGAUACUGUCGGGCUCGAGUAUGGGAGAGGAUGAGGGAAUUCCUGGUGUAGCGGUGAAAUGCGUAGAUAUCAGGAGGAACACCGGUGGCGAAAGCGAGUCUCUGGACAAUUCCUGACGCUGAGGCACGAAAGCUAGGGGAGCAAACGGG